RNAcentral lists this long non-coding RNA (1978 nucleotides) under Oncorhynchus mykiss (rainbow trout). Its description in RNAcentral is "lncRNA (ENSOMYG00000050551.1)". The record is from RNAcentral. Lineage: Eukaryota; Metazoa; Chordata; Actinopteri; Salmoniformes; Salmonidae.
AUGCACACCUCAUGCACCAAUAGGAUUCGACCUACCUGGCAAACCACGCCCCCAUUAUUUCCUACAAAAGAGGAGCAUCCCUCAGCCUCAGCACCAUUCGGUCAAAACACUUCUUGGAGACACGUCACCUGGACAAGACGCAAGCUAGACCUCUACAAGAGAACUUCACCAACGAUGAACACUCCUGCUGAACGACCAGACCACAGCUCCAUGCUACAUCCUAGAGACACCUCACCUGCACCAAGACGCCAGCUGGUACUCCUACAUCACGGAACCCACCCUCCAGAGAAUCUACGCCAUUUUUGGCAUUUUUUCGACGGACCUUCAUAGACCCCCAGACCAUCGAGCCUCAACUACACAUAUACCCACACACACACCUCAUUUUUUCCGGUCCAAAAUAGGCAGAAAUGCGUCGUGGCUGGGCUACUGUUAUAUAAAUAUUCAUACACAUAGCUCAUAUAAACAAAGACAUUCCGUCGUAAGAACACAUACACCCAGCCAUAAGACUGACCCCCUCUUCCUUAUAUAAACACACAUCUCAUCUCCCUCUAACUGGCCGGUCCCAAGAGCAAAGAACUUUUGCUGUGCACCAAUGGGGCCCGCUCUGGCUAGAGAAAGGCCCGCCUCCAACCCUCCGACCAGUCAAGAAGACCGAAACGACAAGACUCCACCUACUUUAUUCUAUGUAUAAAAAUGUAUGUAACCAUUGUAUAGCUCUCUUUUUCACCUGGCUCCUUGCCGAGUUAUGUGAACUAGGUCCGUGCACGUAAAACUGCGGGACAAGAUAUCUCUGACUCAUUAAAACUGUCUUUUGUUACAACUGAAAUCCACUCUGUCCAGCGUCCGUGAUUUGGUCUCAACUCUCCAGUAUUUGAACACUAACAAAAUUUGUAGCAGAGUUUUGUUGUUCUUGAAUUCGAUCUAUUAUAAGUUAGUGUGAGAGGACGAGACUGAUCACGGCUAAAAAAAUCAGACGGAAGAGUGACUUCCCCAGCCAUUCAUCUUGCCUCAGGAAAUCUGAUCGGAGCGCUCUAUAUAAAGGUGAGCAGAGCCCGUUAUAUCGAAAUCUGCAUAUUGUAUUAUAGCCUAAACCAAAUUUUGAUCAGAAAGUACUGGGCGUGAGUAUGAAUCGGUGCCCAAAUUUUUUACAUAAGAACCUAAGACAUUGAUUAAAGAUAUCUUGUUUUGUAAAAAAAUAUAUAUAUAUAUUCUUAUUAAUGGGCCUAUACUCAGUUAUUUUAAUAGGAAUGUGUGAAUUGUGAUUGACCAAUGUGUUAAAUUCCUCCAGGGACCCUAUUUGUUCUGAAAUCUGCAUAGAAAACUGUCCUAAUUAUAUAUGUAUUGGGUUGUGUAUAGAGGUGACGUUAAAUAGUGGCUGUGUUUUAACACGUAAAGGACACAAUUAUGGAUGUUGGAAAUUCAAUGAGAAUUUCAUACGAAUGAAUGAAUUAUAGAUGAACCGAAUCUGCAAGUAAAAAUGUCCUAUUUUGAUAUGUUCUGUACUAUCGAAUAAGGUCUUGUGGAGGUGUGGUUAUAGAUGAACCGAAUCUGCAACUAAAAAUGUCCUAUUUUUGAUACGUUCUAUACUAUCGAAUAAGGUCUUGUGGAGAUGUGGUUAUAGUUGAAUUAUGGAUGAACCGGAUCUGUGUCACACCCUGGUCAAAGUAUUUUGUGUUUAUCUUUAUUUAUUUGGUCAGGCCAGGGUGUGGCAUGGGUUUUUGUAUGUGGUGUGUAUGUAUGGGGAUUGUAGCUAGUGGGGUGUUCUAGCUAAGUCUAUGGCUGUCUGAAGUGGUUCUCAAUCAGAGGCAGGUGUUUAUCGUUGUCUCUGAUUGGGAACCAUAUUUAGGCAGCCAUAUUCUUUGAGUUUGUCGUGGGUGAUUGUCCUUAGUGUCCUGAUGUCAUUGUUCUGUGUUAAGUUACACAAGUAUAGGCUGUUUCGGUUUUCGUUAAGUUUAUUGUUUUGAUAGUGUUUGUGUUU